GAGCAUAACACAAGCAGUAAGCCUCCUUAAAAUUAGCUUCUUCUAUAUUUUCCUGUUUAAUUUACAGAAGCCAAUGACCAAGACACAGCACAAACGAUAACACGCAAACACUGAAACCAAAACCAGAGAUGAAAUACAGAGAAAACAAAUACCAAGAAACAAAACCCAAUCAGUUUCCUGGCGAAUUACGCCUAUUAACUUGAUUAAGAAAUGAAACAUAGAAGAAACAAGAGCAGCAAACAUGAUACAAUUACCUGAAACUUUCCGGGCAAAAAA
This 276-nucleotide unclassified non-coding RNA is filed under the name Hevea brasiliensis (rubber tree). Lineage: Eukaryota; Viridiplantae; Streptophyta; Magnoliopsida; Malpighiales; Euphorbiaceae. The record is from RNAcentral.